This 440-nucleotide ribosomal RNA is filed under the name uncultured bacterium. RNAcentral's name for it is "partial 16S ribosomal RNA". It matches the Rfam family "Bacterial small subunit ribosomal RNA", at positions 338 to 795 of the family's 1533-position model. The record is from RNAcentral.
CCUACGGGCGGCAGCAGUGGGGAAUAUUGCACAAUGGGGGAAACCCUGAUGCAGCGACGCCGCGUGAGUGAAGAAGUAUUUCGGUACGUAAAGCUCUAUCAGCAGGGAAGAAAAUGACGGUACCUGACUAAGAAGCCCCGGCUAACUACGUGCCAGCAGCCGCGGUAAUACGUAGGGGGCAAGCGUUAUCCGGAUUUACUGGGUGUAAAGGGAGCGUAGACGGCAGCGCAAGUCUGGAGUGAAAUCGCAUGGCUUAACCAUGGAACUGCUUUGGAAACUGUGCAGCUGGAGUGCAGGAGAGGUAAGCGGAAUUCCUAGUGUAGCGGUGAAAUGCGUAGAUAUUAGGAGGAACACCAGUGGCGAAGGCGGGUUACUGGACUGUAACUGACGUUGAGGCUCGAAAGCGUGGGGAGCAAACAGGAUUAGAUACCCGUGUAGUC